Molecule: ribosomal RNA, 1293 nt
Filed under: Bacillus subtilis
Lineage: Bacteria; Bacillati; Bacillota; Bacilli; Caryophanales; Bacillaceae
Description: bacterial SSU rRNA
Rfam family: Bacterial small subunit ribosomal RNA
Source: RNAcentral
AGUUUGAUCCUGGCUCAGGACGAACGCUGGCGGCGUGCCUAAUACAUGCAAGUCGAGCGGACAGAUGGGAGCUUGCUCCCUGAUGUUAGCGGCGGACGGGUGAGUAACACGUGGGUAACCUGCCUGUAAGACUGGGAUAACUCCGGGAAACCGGGGCUAAUACCGGAUGGUUGUUUGAACCGCAUGGUUCAAACAUAAAAGGUGGCUUCGGCUACCACUUACAGAUGGACCCGCGGCGCAUUAGCUAGUUGGUGAGGUAACGGCUCACCAAGGCGACGAUGCGUAGCCGACCUGAGAGGGUGAUCGGCCACACUGGGACUGAGACACGGCCCAGACUCCUACGGGAGGCAGCAGUAGGGAAUCUUCCGCAAUGGACGAAAGUCUGACGGAGCAACGCCGCGUGAGUGAUGAAGGUUUUCGGAUCGUAAAGCUCUGUUGUUAGGGAAGAACAAGUACCGUUCGAAUAGGGCGGUACCUUGACGGUACCUAACCAGAAAGCCACGGCUAACUACGUGCCAGCAGCCGCGGUAAUACGUAGGUGGCAAGCGUUGUCCGGAAUUAUUGGGCGUAAAGGGCUCGCAGGCGGUUUCUUAAGUCUGAUGUGAAAGCCCCCGGCUCAACCGGGGAGGGUCAUUGGAAACUGGGGAACUUGAGUGCAGAAGAGGAGAGUGGAAUUCCACGUGUAGCGGUGAAAUGCGUAGAGAUGUGGAGGAACACCAGUGGCGAAGGCGACUCUCUGGUCUGUAACUGACGCUGAGGAGCGAAAGCGUGGGGAGCGAACAGGAUUAGAUACCCUGGUAGUCCACGCCGUAAACGAUGAGUGCUAAGUGUUAGGGGGUUUCCGCCCCUUAGUGCUGCAGCUAACGCAUUAAGCACUCCGCCUGGGGAGUACGGUCGCAAGACUGAAACUCAAAGGAAUUGACGGGGGCCCGCACAAGCGGUGGAGCAUGUGGUUUAAUUCGAAGCAACGCGAAGAACCUUACCAGGUCUUGACAUCCUCUGACAAUCCUAGAGAUAGGACGUCCCCUUCGGGGGCAGAGUGACAGGUGGUGCAUGGUUGUCGUCAGCUCGUGUCGUGAGAUGUUGGGUUAAGUCCCGCAACGAGCGCAACCCUUGAUCUUAGUUGCCAGCAUUCAGUUGGGCACUCUAAGGUGACUGCCGGUGACAAACCGGAGGAAGGUGGGGAUGACGUCAAAUCAUCAUGCCCCUUAUGACCUGGGCUACACACGUGCUACAAUGGACAGAACAAAGGGCAGCGAAACCGCGAGGUUAAGCCAAUCCCACAAAUCUGUU